RNAcentral lists this ribosomal RNA (635 nucleotides) under uncultured bacterium. RNAcentral's name for it is "bacterial SSU rRNA". It matches the Rfam family "Bacterial small subunit ribosomal RNA", at positions 831 to 1467 of the family's 1533-position model. The record is from RNAcentral.
UCCGGNUCUUCCGCGCCGUAGCUAACGCAUUAAGUGCCCCGCCUGGGGAGUACGGCCGCAAGGCUAAAACUCAAAGGAAUUGACGGGGGCCCGCACAAGCGGCGGAGCAUGCGGAUUAGUUCGAUGCAACGCGAAGAACCUUACCAAGGCUUGACAUGUGCCGGUCUGCUCCGGAGACGGGGUUUCCUCCCUUGUGGGGGCUGGUUCACAGGUGGUGCAUGGUUGUCGUCAGCUCGUGUCGUGAGAUGUUGGGUUAAGUCCCGCAACGAGCGCAACCCUUGUCUCGUGUUGCCAGCACGUUGUGGUGGGGACUCGCGGGAGACUGCCGGGGUCAACUCGGAGGAAGGUGGGGAUGACGUCAAAUCAUCAUGCCCCUUAUGUCUUGGGCUUCACGCAUGCUACAAUGGCCGGUACAGAGGGCUGCGAUACCGUGAGGUGGAGCGAAUCCCUUAAAGCCGGUCUCAGUUCGGAUCGGUGUCUGCAACUCGACACCGUGAAGUUGGAGUCGCUAGUAAUCGCAGAUCAGCAACGCUGCGGUGAAUACGUUCUCGGGCCUUGUACACACCGCCCGUCACGUCAUGAAAGUCGGCAACACCCGAAGCCCGUGGCCCUACGGGGAGCGGUCGAAGGUGGGG